UUAAGCGACUAAGCGUACACGGUGGAUGCCCUGGCAGUCAGAGGCGAUGAAGGACGUGCUAAUCUGCGAUAAGCGUCGGUAAGGUGAUAUGAACCGUUAUAACCGGCGAUUUCCGAAUGGGGAAACCCAGUGUGUUUCGACACACUAUCAUUAACUGAAUCCAUAGGUUAAUGAGGCGAACCGGGGGAACUGAAACAUCUAAGUACCCCGAGGAAAAGAAAUCAACCGAGAUUCCCCCAGUAGCGGCGAGCGGACGGGGAGCAGCCCAGAGCCUGAAUCAGUGUGUGUGUUAGUGGAAGCGUCUGGAAAGGCGUGCGAUACAGGGUGACAGCCCCGUACACAAAAAUGCACAUAUUGUGAGCUUGAUGAGUAGGGCGGGACACGUGGUAUCCUGUCUGAAUAUGGGGGGACCAUCCUCCAAGGCUAAAUACUCCUGACUGACCGAUAGUGAACCAGUACCGUGAGGGAAAGGCGAAAAGAACCCCGGCGAGGGGAGUGAAAAAGAACCUGAAACCGUGUACGUACAAGCAGUGGGAGCACGCUUAGGCGUGUGACUGCGUACCUUUUGUAUAAUGGGUCAGCGACUUAUAUUCUGUAGCAAGGUUAACCGAAUAGGGGAGCCGAAGGGAAACCGAGUCUUAACUGGGCGUUAAGUUGCAGGGUAUAGACCCGAAACCCGGUGAUCUAGCCAUGGGCAGGUUGAAGGUUGGGUAACACUAACUGGAGGACCGAACCGACUAAUGUUGAAAAAUUAGCGGAUGACUUGUGGCUGGGGGUGAAAGGCCAAUCAAACCGGGAGAUAGCUGGUUCUCCCCGAAAGCUAUUUAGGUAGCGCCUCGUGAAUUCAUCUCCGGGGGUAGAGCACUGUUUCGGCAAGGGGGUCAUCCCGACUUACCAACCCGAUGCAAACUGCGAAUACCGGAGAAUGUUAUCACGGGAGACACACGGCGGGUGCUAACGUCCGUCGUGAAGAGGGAAACAACCCAGACCGCCAGCUAAGGUCCCAAAGUCAUGGUUAAGUGGGAAACGAUGUGGGAAGGCCCAGACAGCCAGGAUGUUGGCUUAGAAGCAGCCAUCAUUUAAAGAAAGCGUAAUAGCUCACUGGUCGAGUCGGCCUGCGCGGAAGAUGUAACGGGGCUAAACCAUGCACCGAAGCUGCGGCAGCGACGCUUAUGCGUUGUUGGGUAGGGGAGCGUUCUGUAAGCCUGCGAAGGUGUGCUGUGAGGCAUGCUGGAGGUAUCAGAAGUGCGAAUGCUGACAUAAGUAACGAUAAAGCGGGUGAAAAGCCCGCUCGCCGGAAGACCAAGGGUUCCUGUCCAACGUUAAUCGGGGCAGGGUGAGUCGACCCCUAAGGCGAGGCCGAAAGGCGUAGUCGAUGGGAAACAGGUUAAUAUUCCUGUACUUGGUGUUACUGCGAAGGGGGGACGGAGAAGGCUAUGUUGGCCGGGCGACGGUUGUCCCGGUUUAAGCGUGUAGGCUGGUUUUCCAGGCAAAUCCGGAAAAUCAAGGCUGAGGCGUGAUGACGAGGCACUACGGUGCUGAAGCAACAAAUGCCCUGCUUCCAGGAAAAGCCUCUAAGCAUCAGGUAACAUCAAAUCGUACCCCAAACCGACACAGGUGGUCAGGUAGAGAAUACCAAGGCGCUUGAGAGAACUCGGGUGAAGGAACUAGGCAAAAUGGUGCCGUAACUUCGGGAGAAGGCACGCUGAUAUGUAGGUGAAGUCCCUUGCGGAUGGAGCUGAAAUCAGUCGAAGAUACCAGCUGGCUGCAACUGUUUAUUAAAAACACAGCACUGUGCAAACACGAAAGUGGACGUAUACGGUGUGACGCCUGCCCGGUGCCGGAAGGUUAAUUGAUGGGGUCAGCGCAAGCGAAGCUCUUGAUCGAAGCCCCGGUAAACGGCGGCCGUAACUAUAACGGUCCUAAGGUAGCGAAAUUCCUUGUCGGGUAAGUUCCGACCUGCACGAAUGGCGUAAUGAUGGCCAGGCUGUCUCCACCCGAGACUCAGUGAAAUUGAACUCGCUGUGAAGAUGCAGUGUACCCGCGGCAAGACGGAAAGACCCCGUGAACCUUUACUAUAGCUUGACACUGAACAUUGAGCCUUGAUGUGUAGGAUAGGUGGGAGGCUUUGAAGUGUGGACGCCAGUCUGCAUGGAGCCGGCCUUGAAAUACCACCCUUUAAUGUUUGAUGUUCUAACGUGGACCCGUGAUCCGGGUUGCGGACAGUGUCUGGUGGGUAGUUUGACUGGGGCGGUCUCCUCCUAAAGAGUAACGGAGGAGCACGAAGGUUGGCUAAUCCUGGUCGGACAUCAGGAGGUUAGUGCAAUGGCAUAAGCCAGCUUGACUGCGAGCGUGACGGCGCGAGCAGGUGCGAAAGCAGGUCAUAGUGAUCCGGUGGUUCUGAAUGGAAGGGCCAUCGCUCAACGGAUAAAAGGUACUCCGGGGAUAACAGGCUGAUACCGCCCAAGAGUUCAUAUCGACGGCGGUGUUUGGCACCUCGAUGUCGGCUCAUCACAUCCUGGGGCUGAAGUAGGUCCCAAGGGUAUGGCUGUUCGCCAUUUAAAGUGGUACGCGAGCUGGGUUUAGAACGUCGUGAGACAGUUCGGUCCCUAUCUGCCGUGGGCGCUGGAGAACUGAGGGGGGCUGCUCCUAGUACGAGAGGACCGGAGUGGACGCAUCACUGGUGUUCGGGUUGUCAUGCCAAUGGCACUGCCCGGUAGCUAAAUGCGGAAGAGAUAAGUGCUGAAAGCAUCUAAGCACGAAACUUGCCCCGAGAUGAGUUCUCCCUGACCCUUUAAGGGUCCUGAAGGAACGUUGAAGACGACGACGUUGAUAGGCCGGGUGUGUAAGCGCAGCGAUGCGUUGAGCUAACCGGUACUAAUGAACCGUGAGGCUUAACCUU
This 2902-nucleotide ribosomal RNA is filed under the name Shigella sonnei. Its description in RNAcentral is "bacterial LSU rRNA". It matches the Rfam family "Bacterial large subunit ribosomal RNA". The record is from RNAcentral. Lineage: Bacteria; Pseudomonadati; Pseudomonadota; Gammaproteobacteria; Enterobacterales; Enterobacteriaceae.